GGUGUCUGGAGUCUUGAACCUGAGGAUUUGUCAGCUGUCACAAUGGAGCGGUUCGAACCUCAGAUCAAUGCUGAAGAAAGUGAAAUCCGUUACUCCACCUGGAAGAAAGCUGUGAUGAAGUCCAUUGGUUGGGUUACAACUCAAUCUCCUGAAAGUGGUGACCCUAGUAUCUUCUGUAGUCUGCCUUUGGGCUUUUUUAUAGUGAGUAGCAUGGUAAUGUUAAUCGGAGCAAGGUACAUCUCAGGUAUCCCAUAAAUAAUACCACCUCAUAGAAUCCCAAGAUGCAAGCCCUU
RNAcentral lists this long non-coding RNA (293 nucleotides) under Rattus norvegicus (Norway rat). RNAcentral describes it as "long non-coding RNA NONRATT031001". Lineage: Eukaryota; Metazoa; Chordata; Mammalia; Rodentia; Muridae. The record is from RNAcentral.